This is a non-coding RNA of Podarcis lilfordi (Lilford's wall lizard), 79 nucleotides long. Lineage: Eukaryota; Metazoa; Chordata; Lepidosauria; Squamata; Lacertidae. The record is from the annotation of a GenBank genome assembly.
GCAUAGCUCAGUGGCAGAGCAUCUGUCUGGUUUGCAGAAGGUCCCAGGUUGAAUCCUCAGCAUUUCCAGGUAGGGCUCA